Molecule: long non-coding RNA, 1315 nt
Organism: Ictalurus punctatus (channel catfish)
Lineage: Eukaryota; Metazoa; Chordata; Actinopteri; Siluriformes; Ictaluridae
Source: Ensembl
CAGACACUGUCACCAGAGCUCAUAAAUGUAAAAUUUACACUAUCUACAGAACUGUCACCCCGGGAAAACACAUGUGUAGGACAGUGUGUAUAGGCCUACAAGACAUUGCCCGAAAAAUGUGUCUUCUAGUUUAAACAAAACUCUCGAUUCUUUUAAGCAACACUUUAAACAUUUUACGUCCUAAAGGGUUAGGCUUAGAAGGCAUGUAAUACGCACGUUUCUUAUAAAACACUGUCUUUAAAACAUUUACCUCCUAAAGGGACCUAUUUAGAAGAGUGUUAGAGGACCUGUAGUCUGAACAAAUACUAAGGACAUUACAAUGUAAGACAGCUUUGGCUGUGAGCUUGGCGCGGGUACUACGGUGCUGCGUGUUUGAACAUAGACUUAGUAGUGCAAGAGGCUGUCAUCUGGAACCAUCACUGCAAGCAAGCAGGCCAGAGAGCUGUUUGGAGCCACAAUUGAGUCUGUGCCAGUCACAGCAGAAUAUACUGCUGUGUUAAAUGUGAUGACUGUGGCUAGUCCGGCUGAAGGCAUUCUCAGUGUUGAGGCAUUAGCCAAGCACACUGCUGAGGGUAUUCAGGACACUGACUCCAAAGCCCCCACAUCCACUAUCUCAACAAACAAUAAGACCAGCACCGUUGGAGCAAAGAAAAAUGAUGGCUCUAAUCCGACUGCUACAGUGGCUGGUCCAACUCACAGGCUCCCUAAUGACAAUGUGAGUCAGGAGGGUGAGCUGGGAGGCAUGAAUAGUAUACUGCCUGAUAAUUUCCUGGUAGAGAUACUGUCAAAGAGACUACAGGUAAGAACCACCACAAUGUUUAUGGACAACACAACAUGAUUUGACUGCAUUAUUGAACAUACUGUACUGUGUGUUUAACAUUCCUUUUCAAUGAUAUGUUUCUUUAUUAUUGCACAAAAUGCUUCCUUGCUUUGAUGUAUGUCAGUUAUGCAUUUCCAAUAUGCUGUAGCUUAGCGACUGCAACCGAGGCAUCGUGAUUGAUGGCUUGGAAACAAUGUACUGCCACUUUCCAAGCACUGUGCUCCAUGUCAUCAUCAAAGUCUUCAACAACCGCCAGCACAUCUAUGUUAUCAACCUCACUGACAGCUACUUUGAAUUCAGAUCCAGAGAGAGAGCUCAACUGGAGAUGACAGAGGCCUUACAAAGGGAAUAGACUGAAAGAGAAAAGCUGCAUGUGUAGGAGAUGGAUGAGGAUGAGUAUGACACCCUGUGUGAGGAAGAGAAAUCAUAUGCAGACCUUCAGCACUUGGAGAUGCUGAAGGAACAUAUGUACAGUAAGCAAGAGAGGGAGCAGGA